This 500-nucleotide ribosomal RNA is filed under the name uncultured bacterium. Its description in RNAcentral is "partial 16S ribosomal RNA". It matches the Rfam family "Bacterial small subunit ribosomal RNA", at positions 29 to 523 of the family's 1533-position model. The record is from RNAcentral.
AUUGAACGCUGGCGGCAUGCCUUACACAUGCAAGUCGAACGGCAGCACGGGGGCAACCCUGGUGGCGAGUGGCGAACGGGUGAGUAAUACAUCGGAACGUGUCCUUUUGUGGGGGAUAACCAGUCAAAAGACUGGCUAAUACCGCAUGAGAUCUCACGAUGAAAGCGAGGGACCGCAAGGCCCCGCGCGAUUGGAGCGGCCGAUGUCGGAUUAGCUAGUUGGCGGGGUAAAAGCCCACCAAGGCGACGAUCCGUAGCUGGUUUGAGAGAACGACCAGCCACACUGGGACUGAGACACGGCCCAGACUCCUACGGGAGGCAGCAGUGGGGAAUUUUGGACAAUGGGCGCAAGCCUGAUCCAGCCAUGCCGCGUGUGUGAAGAAGGCCUUCGGGUUGUAAAGCACUUUCGGCCGGAACGAAAUCGCGCGGGUUAAUAGUCCGCGUGGAUGACGGUACCGGAAGAAGAAGCACCGGCUAACUACGUGCCAGCCGCCGCAGUAA